GCGGAGGAAAAGAAACCAACUGGGAUUGCCUCAGUAACGGCGAGUGAAGCGGCAACAGCUCAAAUUUGAAAUCUGGCGCCUUGGGCGUCCGAGUUGUAAUUUGUAGAGGGAGUCUCGGGUUAAGGGUCGGUCCAAGUGCCUUGGAACAGGAUACCGAAGAGGGUGAGAGUCCCGUAUCCGGCCGACGCCAGCGCCCGUGUGAGGCCCCUUCGACGAGUCGAGUUGUUUGGGAAUGCAGCUCUAAAUGGGUGGUAAAUUCCAUCUAAAGCUAAAUACUGGCCAGAGACCGAUAGCGCACAAGUAGAGUGAUCGAAAGAUGAAAAGCACUUUGAAAAGAGAGUCAAACAGUACGUGAAAUUGUUGAAAGGGAAGCGUAUGUGGGCAGACUUGGACGCUGGAUUCAGGCCGUCUUCUGGCGGGUGCAUUUUCCAGCGGACAGGCCAGCAUCGGUUCUGAGGGCCGGACAAAGACGAAGGGAAUGUGGCUCCUCUCUGGGGAGUGUUAUAGCCCGGCGUGCAAUGCGGCCACUUGGGACCGAGGACCGCGCAUUUGCAAGG
RNAcentral lists this ribosomal RNA (557 nucleotides) under Verruconis gallopava. RNAcentral's name for it is "eukaryotic LSU rRNA". It matches the Rfam family "Eukaryotic large subunit ribosomal RNA", at positions 50 to 622 of the family's 3401-position model. The record is from RNAcentral. Lineage: Eukaryota; Fungi; Ascomycota; Dothideomycetes; Venturiales; Sympoventuriaceae.